Homo sapiens (human) is the source of this 379-nucleotide long non-coding RNA. Ensembl annotates it as long intergenic non-protein coding RNA 3041. The record is from Ensembl. NCBI's taxonomy places the organism in Eukaryota, Metazoa, Chordata, Mammalia, Primates, Hominidae.
GCUUUGUGGGAGAGAGGUCUGUGUCUGGGCAAACAACCUGCUUGUAGAGGCUGGAAGAGGAAAAGGCCAAAGACACCUGAAAAGAAUGGGGCUUGGCCCCCAGCUAGACGCGAGAUGGCUCGUUUUCAGAGAACAAAGGAGAGGGAAGAAGAUAGGUGUUCCUUGAACAUCUACUAUGUGAGAAACACCACCCAGGGCACUGCACCUGCCUGUGUUGGAAAGAGGAUGCAACCAUCCCCAACAGGGAAGGGUGGAAAAUGCUGCACUGUGCAUGGGCUCACAAGGAAGAUACAUAAUGUACAGCCGAAUCUACAGUCUCCUAUUUUGUCAGCUGCUUGUGUUGAUUAAAACUUCAAUAAAGAUCCUGUGAUAAAACAGA